UACGUAGGGUGCAAGCGUUAAUCGGAAUUACUGGGCGUAAAGCGUGCGCAGGCGGUUUUGUAAGUCUGACGUGAAAUCCCCGGGCUUAACCUGGGAAUUGCGUUGGAGACUGCAAGGCUAGAAUCUGGCAGAGGGGGGUAGAAUUCCACGUGUAGCAGUGAAAUGCGUAGAGAUGUGGAGGAACACCGAUGGCGAAGGCAGCCCCCUGGGCUAACACUGACGCUCAUGCACGAAAGCGUGGGGAGCAAACAGG
This 253-nucleotide ribosomal RNA is filed under the name uncultured bacterium. Its description in RNAcentral is "partial 16S ribosomal RNA". It matches the Rfam family "Bacterial small subunit ribosomal RNA", at positions 524 to 776 of the family's 1533-position model. The record is from RNAcentral.